UGACGUCACCCAUUGGUUUCUGCAGAGUGAGAAUGAGGCUAGUAGGAGGCGUUCCCCCAGCGCCAUCUUGCCGGUGCUUACUCCUCCUCGUUCCUGGCUAACGAAUCAAUGGGCAAGGAGGAGGAGCGCGAGUGAAGACUGACAGCCGAGCGAUGCUCGCGGAGCUCAGCGUUUCCAGGUUAGCUCAGGGCUAAGGAGCUAGGCUACAUGCUACCCGACGCUGCUAACCGGUUAGCGCUGUGCUGUAGCUGGUCCGGCUGGUCGCGAUCUUUACGAACUCACUAGAGAUGAAGCACUGCAGCACCGGAUCUGUCCUCAGCAGCAACAUGGUGGAGAUCGGCAGCUUCAGGCUGGUCAACACGAGGACGACCUGCACAAGCUUCAACGGCCCAACACUUCACGUUUUCUCCCUCAACUAAAGAUGGCCUGCAACUGUUUAGAGUUGGCAAUCAUUGCUAUGUGUCAUGGAUAAUAGAUUUAAUUUCUAUCUUCAUUAUGGUUGGUUAAAAAAAUGAUUAUCUUUUACAAUCUGAUUUGAUACACUUUAGAUAAAAACCCAGUGCUUUAUUUUUCUAAUUCCCCAUAAGAGACACAACACCGUCAGCACAGCUGAGUCCUUCAGGCUAGAAAUGUACAGUACACAGUUCAUGCUAAAAUUGUAGUUGCCAUGUAACAAUCAAGUUGCUUGAUAACUCAGAAGUUAUUAAAACAUUUCUGUGUACCCUUUU
Pleuronectes platessa (European plaice) is the source of this 728-nucleotide long non-coding RNA. RefSeq lists it as uncharacterized. Lineage: Eukaryota; Metazoa; Chordata; Actinopteri; Pleuronectiformes; Pleuronectidae. The record is from RefSeq and is a predicted model, not a curated record. The transcript has 2 exons.